GAGGGUAUAGCCCAGUCACAGAGCAUGUGCUUAGCAUGCACAAGGUCCUGGGUUCAAUCCCCAGUACUUCCA
RNAcentral lists this transfer RNA (72 nucleotides) under Camelus dromedarius (Arabian camel). It matches the Rfam family "tRNA". Rfam says of the family: Transfer RNA (tRNA) molecules are approximately 80 nucleotides in length. RNAcentral also lists the same sequence under 1 other name. Lineage: Eukaryota; Metazoa; Chordata; Mammalia; Artiodactyla; Camelidae. The record is from Rfam by way of RNAcentral.